AGAAAAGGGCGUCACAUCGACGUUUUCGAAACUUAAAACUUUUCAAAAACCAACAAUACACCUGGCCAAUUAAAGUAACACAUUCCAAUCAUCAUGAAUAUUCAAACAUAUGCGUUCGCAGCGGAAAAUAAGGAAUACUCAUGCAUUUCAUAAAAUGAUCCAUGUCCCAUACCAUGGUCACUACUUCAAAUUAAAUAAAACGAUUUAUGACAUAAAGCAUAUCAAAAUAAGAUAC
This 235-nucleotide long non-coding RNA is filed under the name Lathyrus oleraceus (garden pea). Its description in RNAcentral is "Pisum sativum (pea) long non-coding RNA (PSAT_LNC015963)". Lineage: Eukaryota; Viridiplantae; Streptophyta; Magnoliopsida; Fabales; Fabaceae. The record is from RNAcentral.